UAACAUUGAUAGCUUUAAUACUAAGCUAUCCGCCCGGGAACUACGAGCAGUAGCUUAAAACCCAAAGGACUUGGCGGUGCUUUAGACCCCCCUAGAGGAGCCUGUUCUAGAACUGAUAACCCCCGUUCAACCUCACCAUCCCUUGUUUAACCCGCCUAUAUACCGCCGUCGUCAGCUUACCCUGUGAAGGUAAAAUAGUAAGCAUAAUGGCAAGCCNAAAACGUCAGGUCGAGGUGUAGUGAAUGAGAUGGGAAGAAAUGGGCUACAUUCUCUACCA
Molecule: ribosomal RNA, 277 nt
Filed under: Mora moro
Lineage: Eukaryota; Metazoa; Chordata; Actinopteri; Gadiformes; Moridae
Description: partial 12S ribosomal RNA
Rfam family: Bacterial small subunit ribosomal RNA
Source: RNAcentral